RNAcentral lists this transfer RNA (95 nucleotides) under Micromonospora fulviviridis. RNAcentral describes it as "tRNA-Ala". Lineage: Bacteria; Bacillati; Actinomycetota; Actinomycetes; Micromonosporales; Micromonosporaceae. The record is from RNAcentral.
CGGACGGUGGGCGGCAGGUCGGCCAGGGCGGCCCGCACCCGCCCGACGUAGUCCGUGAUCUCCUGCCCAGUGACGGUCAUGCCGCCAUCCCCCGA